CUCAACCAUUUCUCUAAAAAAAAAACCUACUUACUGCUCCUUCUUAUGUCUUCUAUAAGUUCUUUUCUCUUCCCCUCUUUUUCUCAUAUACUUUUUUCUUCUAACAUUCUUCUCCUUCAUUCUUCUCUUUUCCCCUACUGUCGCAGUUUCUCUGUUCUGUUGUUCUCUAUUUUGUUCUUCUCCACAGCUGUUGUUGUUUCUCACUUUGUUUCAUUUUUUUACAGUGAUUCCAUUCUCUAAUUCAAUUUUUUAUUUGAUUAAUUUUGAUUUCUUGUUUUGGGGUUUUUGGCAUGGAUCGAUUUAAUCUUUGUUUUUAUUUUUACUUUUUUAAUUCUUAAGUUGGUUUGGAUUCAGGGUCAAUUUGAUUUGGGUUUAGGAUUGUGGAUGUUAUUGUAGUACUCUGUUUUGCUCAAUAUCUGAAUAAAAGAAUAAAAAAAUUGUAUUAAUAAAUAUAAUUAACGAAAAUAAUUCUCAAAACUCUUUCGAUGUUUACGAUGAUGUGCUGUAUCUAUACAAAAAUGUACUAUUAGGCUACCCUGAUUCAGAACCAUAGGAUUUGUUUGGUUUAUGAUUGGUAGGUUGGAGUGUAGCAAGGAGAAGGUACCAUUUCAUAAUUCCGAUCAACAACGGUGGCAUAAACCCUUAAGUGAAGGUGCUCUUAAUAAUCAGAGUCUUGCAUGCGGUUAUUCACUACAAUGGAUACGGCCAUUUGCUUUGUGUUAAUGGCAUAGAAGGGGGUUCUAAUGUUCUUAGUGGAGAGAUCUCUGGGACAGGAUCUGCACCAAUCUUCGAGCAAGGAUUAUGAAAUGGUAUCUUCUCUUUGAUAUUGGUGAUAUUGGUGAUACAAGGCUCCCAAAUCCUGUUGUCCAUCUGGAUUAUGAAAUGGUACCUUCUCUUUGAUAUAAAAUGGCCACUCCAACCUACCAAUCAUAAACGAAACAAAUCCACUGGUUCUGGGUAGCCUAAUAGUACAUUUUUUGUACAGAUAAAGCACAUCAUUACCAGGAACCCAAGAUGAUUCUAUUUGGGGAUCUACAACAGCCAUUACCCCAGGCUCCAUUUCAGGGGCUUUGAACCCCUUCCCAAGCUCAUGAAUAGUCACUUAAUUUUCGCUGAGUUUUCCUCUUUUCUUCCACUGCUUGCUUAGGAUUUUCAACACUGAAAAAUGAAACUGACUCCUAGAGAGAUCGAGAAACUAGCCUUGCACAAUGCUGGCUUCCUUGCCCAGAAACGCCUUGCUCGUGGUUUGAGACUCAAUUAUACUGAAGCUGUAGCUCUCAUAGCACUGCAGAUUUUGAAAUUUGUUCGUGAUGGUGAAAAGACUGUUGCAGAGUUGAUGUCCAUUGGGAGAGAACUCGUAGGAAGGUGUUAUGUUAAUUUUCAUCAUUUGAUUCCGAUGGCCUAUGAUUUUAAAUUGUUUUGCCUUUCCUUGGAUAAUAGUUUCAUCUCUGUAGUGUAAUCCUAUCGGCUUGUUCAUCUACACUAAUCGAUGAUAACCCCAAGUUUAAGGAUGAUUCACACUACUAAACGAUGAGAGAUCGUGUCUAAUUGUACAUGUUGUAAGGAUUCUUACUGAGUCUCUCGAUUCAGUAAGAAUAAUAGACUAGAGUUACCAUGUGUAAGGCAAAAGAAGUGCCAAAAACAUGGCCAGAGUUUAGCGUAGGUUUAACGUGUUGGCUUCCUCUGAUAUGAACGUGUUAGUGUAUCUAUGCAUUUGGGUGCAUUUAUAAAGUUGCUCCCCAGCCAGUGUUGUAUGUGUUUGGUGAA
Long non-coding RNA from Gastrolobium bilobum, 1767 nucleotides. RefSeq lists it as uncharacterized. The record is from RefSeq and is a predicted model, not a curated record. Lineage: Eukaryota; Viridiplantae; Streptophyta; Magnoliopsida; Fabales; Fabaceae. The transcript has 3 exons.